UACGAAGGAUGCAAGCGUUAUCCGGAUUCAUUGGGUUUAAAGGGUGCGUAGGCGGUCUUAUAAGUCAGUGGUGAAAUCUCCUCGCUUAGCGAGGAAACUGCCAUUGAUACUGUAGGACUUGAGUAUAGUUGCUGUGGGCGGAAUACGACAUGUAGUGGUGAAAUACUUAGAGAUGUCGUAGAACACCGAUUGCGAAGGCAGCUCACAAAACUAUAACUGACGCUGAGGCUCGAAAGUGCGGGGAGCAAACAGG
RNAcentral lists this ribosomal RNA (253 nucleotides) under uncultured bacterium. Its description in RNAcentral is "partial 16S ribosomal RNA". It matches the Rfam family "Bacterial small subunit ribosomal RNA", at positions 524 to 776 of the family's 1533-position model. The record is from RNAcentral.